RNAcentral lists this ribosomal RNA (454 nucleotides) under uncultured bacterium. RNAcentral's name for it is "partial 16S ribosomal RNA". It matches the Rfam family "Bacterial small subunit ribosomal RNA", at positions 28 to 507 of the family's 1533-position model. The record is from RNAcentral.
GAUGAACGCUGACAGAAUGCUUAACACAUGCAAGUCAACUUGAACUUCGGCUUGGGUGGCGGACGGGUGAGUAACGCGUAAAGAACUUGCCUCACAGAUAGGGACAACAUUUGGAAACGAAUGCUAAUACCUGAUAUUAUGAUUAUAUGGCAUCGUAUAAUUAUGAAAGCUAUAUGCGCUGUGAGAGAGCUUUGCGUCCCAUUAGCUAGUUGGAGAGGUAACGGCUCACCAAGGCGAUGAUGGGUAGCCGGCCUGAGAGGGUGAUCGGCCACAAGGGGACUGAGACACGGCCCUUACUCCUACGGGAGGCAGCAGUGGGGAAUAUUGGACAAUGGACCAAGAGUCUGAUCCAGCAAUUCUGUGUGCACGAUGAAGUUUUUCGGAAUGUAAAGUGCUUUCAGUUGGGAAGAAAAAAAUGACGGUACCAACAGAAGAAGUGACGGCUAAAUACGUG